CGGCGUAUUUGUUGUUGUAAGUGCUUGUAAGUGUUCUGUAGUUUCCAUGUCCGUGCGUGACGUGCUGCAGCGCUUCAAGUAUGUCAUUAGCUGUGAGAAUUUCAACGUAUCUCUGCACAAGUGUCAACACUUGUGAGUGCCAGCUUGAGGAGGUAAUUGUUAACGCCUUGUAAUGCGUAGUGUCAGUUUUGUUUUUCAUUGUGUCGCAUGCAGAGUCUGUCUAAGCACGAUCAGAGGCAACUUCUAGGUAGGUGUUGAAAUGCUAAAACACACAUAUUCGUGUCUGACAUACAAACUUUCCAACAGUGCGUAAAUAGUGAGCUCUGGCAAUGCGAAAAUUAAGUUCGAGACCGCGUGGAAACGCACAUGCCAGGCCUCUUUCCCUUCAUAUUUCGAAGUUCACCAAGUGAAGUCACGUACGGCUUGCGUCAUUUGGGUUAUACUAUUGUUCGAUAUUUCCUGGGACACAAAUUCACGUAUCUGUAUGCCCAAUAUGGGGAUAAGUCGACUUAUCCCCCUUUUACUCAUUUGGCUGCAGAGACAUAGAGUGUUUGCUCUAACGUGUCCAGAAAUUAUGUUUAAAGCGAGCGAUAAAAGAAAAGCAAGUUGUACUUUUCUGCUACUUGAGUAAGAAACAGGUAGUACUGCUUCACUAGUAGCACCUGUUUCUUAGUCAAGUAGCUGAAAAGUAGCGCUCAUUUCUCUUUUAUCGCCGUCCACCUUCCUCAUGAAUAGCCUGAAGUCGGCGUUGGCCUUGUAUGUCGACACCAACCCCAGGCCCUGUAUCUUGCGGUAAGUGCUCUGUCACCAGUGGAAAAAAUAACACCUCGUCUUCAUGUCUUUGUGAAGGACACCCCACGGCAUUGAUGGCUGCAGGAUCAAAGUUCACCGUGACUUCUUCCGGGUCUGGGGUAACACCUGUUCACAUGCGUUCACUGUUGCCCUCAGGAACUCUUCGUAGGUUUUCCUUGUCUUGCUUACCAUGAGGGCGAAGACUGCUGGAACUACACUCUGCCCCAAAGACAAACCUAUGGCCCCUGUGAACAAGGUAGAUGACCUAAGUGAGUUCUUUGACCACUUUCACGGGGAACGUUCGCUGAAACAGUGAACCUGGCUUGGGUUUUCCCCAUGACACAAUUUUCUGUGCUACGGUUCUACGACUAAAUACCCUUACUUCAUCUCGGGGAGCCCUGUAUAUGGAAACUUGCGCCAACAUACCCUCGUCAUCGAUAGCACUUUAUUUAGCGAAGGAACAUGCUCUAUGGUUGUUCAAGGUACAGUGGCAGGAUGAAGACCCACGGGUAUCAGGUAGGCUUAACCACAGCAGUUACUGUUGAAAGGUAGGGAAAUUUCCAUGUCUGCCUCCAUGUUUUGUAUGUAUACAAUGUGUAACUCGGUGUCCAAGACAGUUGUAACAAAGCAGCUCGUAACCUGAAUGAUGUGUGGCAUCACAGGGACAUAUCGUUUGCGUGGGGAACCAUUUGGUUGAACUACUGUCAAUGCUUGCUGCUACCUAUCUGCAUAACUAACACACUGCUUACUGAAAGGUGUCACACCAUUUUGCAGUGAUACAGAUAUGUGGAAAAAGAAAACGUGGUACGAACACUAUGGUAUGGUUAGGCAACAUCACAGCUUAGUGCAUUUACAAAAUUGGCAACAGCAACAGUAAAUGAUGGAAAAGUGAUGAGGACAUCGGAUGUUUCCCCCAUGAUAGCCACGGGACCCUACCCAACAAGACUGAAGUAUGCGUGUAUACCUGCCAACUUCUCGAUUAUGCGGGAAACUCCUGAAUUUUCGUUCAGUCUCCCGAUUUUAUGGACUCACCCUACAAUCUCCCAGAAAACUGGGGCCUUGAGCUUUUCUUCGCUCGUUUUCAUUUAAAAAAUGGGUCAACGCAUUCCUGAAGAAUUACAUAGCCUGUAACAUGUGUUUCGCGGCAUAGCCACACAUGGCUGGAGGUCACGGCAGAUAGUGUGUAUCAUUGUGUCCGUGUUUCUCGAGAUGACGUGCUAUCUAUCAUCCUCUCGUCAGUCCAGCCUCGUACAACAAUAGUUUGUCUUCUCCGAUGGCGUUCUCCAAACAGAAGAAAUAUCUGCACAUGUUCCUCAUACGUGCCAAGUGCCUUUUCACGGGUAUUCUGUUUGAGCCCAACCAGUGUGGAGCAUAAGCAACCAUGCUCUUCUGGAAGAUGUUCCCAAAAUGUCACGAAUGGAAGCGCCAUUGGUGUGGACGGACGAAGCCCACUGCCAUCAUCGGUGAAAUUGCUGCGGCAGCACAAAAUGCAAUGUUGGAGAGCCGGAGAUGACGCGUCUUUGCAAUUUCGGUUGACGGAAGCAACGAGAGGGGGUCGCAGCUCCACCCGAUAGUGGCUAUGUAUGACGUAGAUGAAUCUCAAUACAGUGGCAUCCAAAAUUAAUGCCCCGGACCUCCUUCCAUCAUGCUGGGGGCAGUCCUCCGAUCUUGAAGUUCGUCAGGUUGGCAGGUAUGCGUGUGCAAAUUUGGGAAAUGUCAGCAUAGUCGAAGACACAAAGACAUCCUACUAUCUAAAUGGUGUCACUUGUGCCUCCUUUCUGCAAGUGGCACUCUCUUCUGAACAGGACAUUCAGUAUCGGGGAGUCACAGGUGGUGCCAUUAUGCUCCAUCUAUUUAGCUAUUUCACGUGUGUGGCGAAUAUCACAACGUGUAACAACGUAAUGGAGAAUGUUGUUGACGAUGCCAGUCGAACUGUGUUUUUUUGACUGUUCAUGUGAGCCACGGGGGCUUGUCAACCAGUUCAUGUUAUUUAUGGGGCGCUGCACCUGCACCCCUCACUGGAACGUCCCCGAAUGGGUCAGUGUAACCUGAUACCCAAAGCAACGUCUUCCGAGAGGCGCGUCUGGUCACUGUUUCUAGUGCCUCUGUCUCUCCCUUCUUUUUGUAAAUAAAAUAGUCGUCUCUUUUCAAAGCUACGAAGUGGUCGUGUGUUUUCUGGUCUCUGCGAAGUUCGGGCGCCCCCCGACGUUUGUGUUCGACGGACUUACACGUGCUACAACGCAAGGACUGACACCCAUACAGAGGCUGAGUGCCCCAAAACUGACAGCAUUGCCCUAGUUUGCUGAGAUAUACCUCAAAAGGCAACUUCAGUAAACCAACAUGUAUUGAAAGUGUUACUUCUUCGUGUUCGUUCACUCAUGCAUUUGUUGCAAUCGUAGCCAGCUUUUAUAGAUGCAGGAAAUUUUGAAGUAAAAAUGAUUAAGUUAAUAAUGUUCCACAUGAUCAUUCUGCAGGCAUAGGACACAUGAUCUUUCGUGCAACACAAAAACUAAAACACCACGAAUCACAUGUUAUCUUUUUCAUCAGUUCGUGGUCAGCCCUGAACUGGAUCCUCGAAUUAGUUAGUGCCCGCAAAUGAAAUAUAGAGUGUAUUGUCCACUUGGCUACUCCAGACUUUAUUUUGUAAUUACCUAUUGUGUGUUCAGGCUUGUCGACGCUGACCAUGUACUUUGGUUGUAGUCGAACUUCUACAUGACGAAAUUGCAAAUGUUGGCAUUUUAAUUCGUUAACUAGGGGACUUUGUUAAACCGACCACGCAAAAAAUUAUUUUUAAAAAAAGCACGGCUGAUCCACCGAUACGUGUAGUAGAAUGCGUAAGUCGCCAUAAAACAGUCCUCCACACUGAAGGACAAACAAAUGGCAAAUUAAGGAGUCACAUUAGCAAAUAACACGUGCAGUAAAAGCUCGUUAAUUUGAAUCCCAUGGGGAUGCAAAAAACGUUUGAAUUAAACGAAGUUCGAACUAAUGAAAAGCAAAGAAAAAUAGUGGAAAACAGCACUGGUGAGAUAAGUAAAGCUUACAACUUUUAUUGAUGAAAAAAGUCAGUGAUUGUUUGCUGCUUCUGCACUCGAAAACUGAACACCAUCAGCUUGCACUCCAAAACACGAAGAUGGUGAAGAGCGUCCUCUUGGCCUUCUUCAUGGCUGAAGAAUUGGCGGGCAACAUUAAGUGGUUCCAAAACUUGUGAUGGGGAUGGCCGCGCCGUAGUUUCUUCCACCUCUUCAUCGUCUCGUUUUCUUCGUCCGGUUCUUGUCGCGCCGACACUUCCGCUACGAUAUCUUCAUCGCUGCGGACACUGCAGACCGCCGCAGCGCUAUCCGCGUCAACGUAAUCGGUGAAGCACACGCCUUGCAGUGCCUCAUGCAUGUCUGCUGGAAUAUUCUCCUCAUCAAACACGUCAUCGGUUAAUUCCUGCAGACAUGUGUCCCGAGCAGUGGAACAGCUUGGGGUGAUGAAGACACAGUGGCGGGAACAGUUCGCGAUGGUCAAUGGCACGACUUGGUCCCACGCACGUGCCAGCAUGUGCAACGCCGAAAGCAGAGUCACGGCGUUGCUUGGACCGCACAGGAUCAAACGCUCAAGCAUAUGACGUCUAUAAAACGUCUUCAUAUCCUUGAUCACGCCCUGAUACAUCGGCUGCAACGCUGCUGUCGUAUUUGCCGGAAGGAAAGCCAGUUCGAUAGCUCUCAGCUCGACGUCCAUCUUGUGCGGCGUACAAUUGUCGACGCUGAGGAGAACCCUUCUGUUUCUCAAUUCAAGCUUCCUGUCCCACGUUUUUAGCCACUGCUUAAACAGAUUGGCGGUCAUCCGCGCUUUUUUGUUGGCAGCAUACUCCGUUGGCAGCGUUCGAAUGUUCUUAAAGCACCACGGCUUUGACGACUUGAUCACGAAAAGGGGAAGCUUUUCCGUCCCAGUCAUGUUUGCAGCCAGCCUUACUGCGCUUUCCACCCGUGCAGCUGUCCCCUUUAAACGCAAUCGUCCCGUCUGGCAAAAGUUUGAAAAAUAAAGCGGUUUCGUCGGCGUUAAAAAUAUCAUCCGGCGAAUAUUUCCUCAAGAACUCCUGCAGCUGUUCAUUUUUCCACAACGUACACGUUUCCGCACUAACGUCGCCACGUUCGCCGCAUACAGCCUGGAAGACAAGGUCAUGCCUCUCUCGAAAUCUGUGGAACCACCCAUCAGACGCUGCGAAGUCCUCGAUGUUCAAGGGAAGUGCAAAGUCCGCUGCCUUUGCCAUUAUGAUAGGCCCGCUCAGGGGAAUGUCCUGGCUCCUCAUCUCCUUAAUCUAUGUGAUCAAAGCAUUCUCCAUUUCGGGAUGUUUUGCAAGUCGAAGUCUUUUCCUUUCGGGGGUGAAACCCUUACCUUCGUAGGUGUCUUCGAUGGCUUUGCGGUUACGGAUGUACGUCGACAACAUGCUUUUUGGUAUGCCAUACUUCUUCGCUAUGUCGCUCUUGCUUAUCCUUCCAGCGUCGAUUUCACGCAGAAGGACAUCAGCAGCUGUAGGCGUUGGCUCUUUGUCCGGUCCAUCGCUUUCGACAGUGUCCCCGUUGUCCCCCGGGUCACGCACUGAGUCCACGACGUCGUCGUCGUCGAGCUCCUCUGUAGCUAAGACACAACUGUCACCGUUGAUGUAGUCGGAUAGUUCCAUGCCCGCCGGCACUGCACCCUCCCAGUCCAUCAGAGAUUCCCAUGCCUGAACGAGCCCAGGUUGCACAGUUUCAGUUUCUGCUGCCGUUUCCUGCUCGCAGAGGCCAAGCCCGGCCUUUCGAAAGCAGUUCGCGAUGAUCACCACUCCCGUUGAUUGCCACGCAGCUGACAGCAUCUCCACCGCAUGGGAGGCUUCCACUUUUGUGGGCAAGUUUAACCUCAGGUUUAGGAAGAACCUGUCGAUCAGGCGACGCCGGUACGCAAACUUUGCACUGUUUAUUACGCCUUGGUCCAAAGGCUGAAUCAACGAUGUGCAGUGUGCGGGAAAGAAGUGCACUUGCACAUUGCUUAGUUCCAGACCCUGAAAUGUGAUGCACCGAACAAUUGUCCACAAGCAGGCACACAUUUCUUCUCUGGUUCUUCGUGUCGUUGUUGAGCUCAUUCAGCCAUUCUACGAAAAUGCUGCUCGUCAUCCACGCUUUAGUGUUCUCCACGUACUUUACGGGGAUUCUUGCAGCAUUUUUGAACGAUCGUGGUCUUGAACUUUUCCCGAUAACAAGCGGGACGCGCUUGUCGCUGCCAUCCAUGUUAGUGCAGAGCAAAACCGUGAGAUGCAGCUUGCUUUGUUUUCCACCAUGGCAGCGGUCACCCUUAAAGGGACGGUCUCGUAUCCCCUGCCCCUUUCAUAAAGUGUACCAUUCGAUUGCCCUUUGUUGAAAAUGGAAUACUGCUAAUUUACCCGACACAACACGCCACAGUUAUUAAAUAACCGAAUUAAAUUGAUGAAGAUUGCAGAGCAUGCCGCGAUCUGUGUUGGCAACAAUAAGAGCAGCCACGUCGCCCUGCGGGUAAGUCCGUGAUAGGAUACAGAAAUCGUUUGCUUUUGUGCGCACUAGUGCAUCGGCGAGAGCAGAUGACUUUCAGAAGUUACUGGGCACCGCGGCAACUCUCGUACAUUUUCUUUCAGUUCUCAGGUGAAAAACGCACAUUCUAAGAAGUGGCAACCAUGGUGGUUUAGAACAACUAUGUUACUCCUCAGAGACAAGUUAAAAGUCGCAGGACAACCCCAUCCACAAUCACAAAUCUGAAGUCGCCGGCCAUCGGCGCGCGCGGUCGCAUUACAGCUCCGACCAAAAAUAUAUUACGCGCGCUUCCAUUACACUCCCCGUUGUACAUUGAUCAUGCUUCGAAAUGAAAUGUCGCUGACGACAUAUAUGGAGAAGGAGUGCGUGUUUAUUUAAAAAUCGCAUUAAAUACUCGCGGAAAAAAAACAUGUGACCUAGCUUCCACGUAUCCGAUUAUGCGCCACAUUAUCAGAGACCCCACAGUCAAUGCUCGGACUACAUUCUCCGCUCGUGGAGGUAUAUGCCUGAGUGUCCCCAUUUUGAGAGCAAAGGGGAUGACUCAACCCAAGGUGCUUCUGCAAGUUACAAUUACCAUGAUAACGACGACGUACCCGCAAGCCGACGUCAUACGUGACGUAUGCAUGAGAGAAGCGCGGCUUUCGUCGUCUGCUAUUAUGGCACGUUUUGACAAAUUCCUCGAAAACGACUUGUUAUUCCGAAUGAAACUUUGACUGCUGUAUGUGUACAGUACUCGUGAAGCUAGUUUUGGCUAAGUUUCGGAAUCGCCCCGGCUGUACGAGACCGUCCCUUUAAGCGCCAGAGUCAUUCUUCCGUAACAUUUGAAAAAACAGGCCUGUUUCGUCGGCAUUGUAGAUGUCGGAUGGCUUGUAAGUCGCCAUAAUUUCUGGCAAGCGAUCUUUACGCCAUGCCGAUGCCUGUUCAGUAUCCGCGGCGUGGCACUCUCCACUUGCGGUCUUGCCAACGAUCGUAUGCCGCAUUUUGAAUUUCUGCAACCACCCGGUGCUUGCUUUGAAAUCAUCGCAUCCAAGCAAGCAUGCGAAGUCUCUUGCGUUUUGUUGAAGGACGGCACCGCUGACUGGAAUGUUCUUCGCACGUAUCUCCGUGAACCACUUGAAGACAGCCUUGUCAACGUCCCCGUAGGUCGCUGCCUUCAACUUCUUGCACUGGCCGCUGCAUGACCUGGAACGCACAGCUUUCAGGACGUCUUCCUUGGACUUGAGUAUCGUGGACAGCGUGCUUGGAGGGACGUUGAAACAAAUUGCAACAUCCUUUUUCUUUUCCCCUUUGGACACCGCAUCAAUCAUCGCGACUUUGUCAUCCAGUGUCAAAGCUUUGCGUUUCUUACUUGCACUCAUGACAACACGUAACGACGCAACCACCACGACACAGCACAGACGACGAAAUGUCGUGAAAUGGGUAACCACGUGUCUUUUUCCUUUCGCUAUCGCACACCACAAUAGAAUGCCACGCCUACAUCACGUGGAAACACCAAUAACCAAUGAGAACUCACGUGAGGUCAGCGUCAAAACUCCUCCCUUCUCCUGCGCGACGGGGGAAGCGACCAGUGUGGAAGCUUUCCGUUGCCCGCGGCUUUCGUUAAAUGGAGACAACCAAAUGAAGGCAUUUCGUUAAAUAGACUUUAGAAAUGCAUUGAGGUCUAUGGGGACACGUAAAUGUCACAAAAUAUGUACGUUAAAUAGAGGAUUUCGUUAAAUAGACGUUCGUUAUUCGGAGGCUUGACUGUACAAUGAAAUUAUAUUUCGUAGUAUCACUUCAAUAGGUUUCUGUAUUCAUGUAUUGUCCACCAAAGCGUCCCGAAGAUGUCAAGGUGAGCUCAAGGCCGUCAACUGCUGCUUGUUAACGAAAGGAACAUUUCACCCGUGCACGAUGCAUGGCAUCGUGCACUAAAGUGUGCAUGGGUAGCGUGGCACGGAAACAGGAUGGCGCAUGCUCCCUCUUGGAACUCAGUGUUGAUACUCUGAAGUGUAGCUUAUUUAGUGACUCUUGGUACGCUGGCUCUGGCUCGUAUGCUUGUUUACCCAUAUGGUGUCCGAAUAGAUGCAUUUAAGGCCGACCCGCAUUGAGCGUAUUACGGUGGCCUCGUGAUUCGUCUCAUGAAAACCGGCUCUGCCACCGUAUUUCAGCGCGUCUGCGGUGUGACUUCUUCAGGCUUCUUCACACAAUGCUGUGUGGUGGUGGUUCCAGGUGGCAUUUCUUUCAUUACCAUGACACUUCGCCAGCUGCACUUGUAAAGUAUUCCUUGUACAUGUUGCGGGCACCUGCUGUGUCAGUGCUGUAGGUGCGUGCUGAUGUUCGCUGGACGUCGAACAGUGCUGUCCGAUCUUCCUGUUCUAUAUCUCUCCAGGAACCUCUCCUGCAGUUGCCAAAUUCAUCAGGGGUGUCCUCUUCUUCAGUUAGCAACCUCUGAUUCAAGAGGUAGUUGUGGAGGACACAGGAGGCAAGGACAACAUUCUCCACAUUUUCUGGAGACAGGUUGAUGACUCUCAGAAAAAUUCGCCAACGGUUGGCCAGGAUGCCGAAGGCAUUUUCAGAACAUCGCCUAUAGCAUAAUAAAUAAUAACACGUCAGUGAACAUUUUAAAUGGAAAAUUCUGGGUGUUUUACCUUGCAUGGGACAGUCUGUAGGUGAAGAUUGUCUUGUCAGGUGGCAGCAUCUUGCCAGGAUAGGGAUGCAAGAAGUCUUGUCGGAGCUGAAAAGCCUCAUCUAUCAGUACAUGAGGCAAAACAUCAUCAGAGUUUGGCAGCCUUUCAAUUCCGGGCAUUUGCAAUGUGCCAGACAGGAGCCUUCUUCCAAUGGCCGACUCCUUAAACACUGCACUGUCUUCAGCUCUUCCUGGUGCUCCCACAUAAAUCAUCCUGAAGCGGCACUUGCUGUCAACAACCGCCAUCAACACGAUUGAAUAUGUUACGUGAAGGAAUCUCAUUUAGUACCGCAGUGCAACCUGCAUGUACAUUAAUAACCUCCACAUUGUCUUAACUUGUAGUUGUAAAACAUGCUGCCAGAUAUUUUGGGAGCAACGAUUUGGACAUGCUUUCCGUCCACUGCACCCAAACAGUUUGGGAAACUCCAGCUCUGUGCAUACCCAAGGGCAAUCUUCUCCCACUCGGAUUUGGUGGGUGGCUGCACCAUGAAGAGUUUGGAUUAAAACUUAGACCAAUAACAAAGUUUGACUGCUAUUCGAAGUUGACGUUGCCUUCAUCACGAGUGGUUGUAGUGUACUCCACGACACUUUGCAUGUUACGUGGAUGUGCUCACUUGCUGUCACCAGCCCCACUAGGUAGGCAAGUGCGACUUCCUUAAUCUGCAUCCCAGAUGAAAGGAACCUGGACAGUUGAUCCAUGUGUUUCUUGCUAUACCAGUAUUGUGGUUUCAUUAUCUUUAUCUCAAUACAACACAUGCCAAGUAUAUGUCAGAAUAUACUGAAGGAAGUGUUGAGUUUACCGGAUCGUCAUAGCAAGCCUUUCUUGCGAGGAGAUGGGGUCCCUCACAGGAUGCUCUUUGGAUAGAGCACUUUGAACAAGGCGAUGUAGUUCAUCAAACGUGCUCGAGGGCAUCCUGUAAAACUUCUGGAACAUCCUAUUGUCCAUGAAGAAGACCGAGAGACACGGACACAGAAGACGACACACGUAGGUUCUCAGACACAGCAAUAAAUUUAUUGGUUCAUCCCAACUUAAAAGCUAAAAAUCUCUGAAGGGGUGCGAGAGGGAUAAAAGACUCAUUGCUAACUACGUUUCUCCUGGUGGCAAUCUCCAAGGAUUCCCGAAACAACCUUCGGUGUGCGUAGGGUUCCCACGCAAGCACUGUAGUGGUCCUUGAAGCAAGGCUGGCAACCCUUACAAUCCUGUAAAUGAUCUACCAGUUCUGAAGGCUCGGCCAUUCUUUCAACAUUUGCUGCAUGUUCCCUAAUCCGGUCAUUCAGGCACCGGCGCGUCUGGCCAACGUACACAAAGCCGCACUCAAGGGGAAUAGAAUACACAACGUUCUGCUUGCAAGGAACAGAAGGCUUCCUGUGCCUCACGCCACAAGAUUCAGAUUUAGAGCUUAAGGAGGUCAGACGACUUAAUUUAAAGGCAUUGGAAAAAACAACUUUGAUAUUAUAGUAUUUAGCGACAGCAAGAAUGUUGUGAGCAACUGCAUGAAAAUAGGGAAUUACAACUACGUUACGAGAGUUUACAUCAUUCCAUGGUCUACACUGUGAACUUUCAAACAAUUUCAUGGCCCUCUUCGCAAUCAAUUGGUUGUCAUACCCGGCCUGCGUGAGUCUUUCACAUUGCUUCCGCAAACUACUCCAAACAAAAUGAAAACAGCUUUUCUUUGUUGCAGCAUUCAAGAGGGAUGUACAAACACCGAACUUAACAAGUUCAGAAUGUGCGCUUGAGUAGAGCAGGACCGGCUUGCAGUUUUCUUUUCCAUAUGACCAACAAAAACCCGGGUUACAAUGAAAUGUGAGGUCCAGGAACCUCAGCGUCCCAUGAGAGGGUUGCUCUACACAAAACUUUAAGUCUGGUGCUACUGUACUAACAAACUGUAAGGUAGAAUCCACACAUAUAGAACCAGCAUCAGAGAUAACAAUGAUAUCAUGAACAAACCGACGAAUCAAAACACACUUUUGGCUCCCAUAAGCUCCCAUAACUCGUAAGCUUGCUCAGCUCAAUGUCCAACGUAUUUAGAUAAAUUUCUGAUAAGACAGGAGCAACUGCGGAUUCAAUGCAUACACCAUUUUUCUGAACAAACAAACAAUUGUCAACAGAGAUAACAGUAGAUUUCUAGGGCCUGACUUUUUCGGGUUUUCUUUUUGGCCAAAUUCGGGGGGUAAAUAUCGGGUGAUAUUUUUCAUUUGAAAAUUCGGGUGUAUUCGGGUUAAAUCCCAUUACGGCAUAUUCUGUCGUCAGGAAUUCGGGUGUAUUCGGGUGAUUUUUUUUUUGUUUAAUAAAAAUUUGUCUUAACAUGGAACUAAUGUUUAGCAAUGUUAUCAAACUUUAUUUUAAUGCACGCUUAUGAGUGUGCCACGCAACCCGGAUGUUUUCGGGGAGAUUCGGGUUAAACCCGAAUUUUACAGAUUUCGUUCGGGGGGUAAAUAUCGGGCGGAUACGGGUUUAACCCUAAAAAGUCAGGCCCUAUAGAUUUCAAAUAACACUCUAGAAUACUGAGAAAAUCAUCACAGGAAAGACCAACUUCAGACUGAAAAACAACCAACUCAUCUUAAAUCAAAUGUUUGACUGUCCUGAGUAGAACCUUUACGUUCAGCGAGUAAUACAAAUCUUUUAUAUCAAGGGAAAACAUAGUUACCAGAGCACCGUGGAAGGGCUCUAAGCUCUCGAUCAGUUCCUCAGAAUUCCGUAGCGAGAGAGAACCAGGAAGCUGUACAACUUUUAGUCCGCGUUGGAGAAAUUUUGCAACGAGUUUCUGCCAGGUACCAAUUUCACUCACAAUGACACGAAGAGGCAUCUGCGGUUUGUGGUCUUUUAAAAGGAACUUGACCGAUAGCUCAGAGCACUUGCAGUUUACAACAAGUUUGCACAUUUGGUGGUUCGCCUUGGUGAAAAUGCUUACAAUAGAAGACUUGUACUUUUGUAACGAGCCACGAGACGGAGUGAAAAGGUCACCAAUAGCAGAAUUGACCUUGUUCAAGUAUAUUGCACUUGGCAAAACAGCAAAUUUACCAGACUUAUCACAUUGAAGCAACAUGGCGUCAAUGGAAAAAAGUUCAUCCUUAACAUUCCUGAUCUGCUUCAAAUGAGGUGAUGGGCCGUUAGUAUAAGCGGAAGCGGGAAUGCGGGAGAGACAGCGUUCAGUAAACACCAAUUUGUCAGUGCUAUCAGUAAUUUUGGCGGAAACAUGACUUAUGAGCGCUGCAACAUCAAACUUCGUAGGUUUCACAGGCAGGGAGCAUUUCGGGGGCUGGGACAGAACCUCAAGUGAAUUCUGAGAAAUGCUCCCAUCAUAAGGGUUGACCAGUUCAGAAGAAGCACUGCCAGCUUUGCACGUGGGAGGAGCCGCAACCACAAAAGUUUUUUUCUUCGAGCACCACUGCUUAGCAAACUCUGUGCUUUGAAGCUGCGACCACUUUAAGAAGUAUGUCUCUGAGGCAUACCUGUUGCCGUAGAGUAAUGUCCAAAUCUUGGAUGACAGGGUCCUGAGGAUACGAACCUGUCCAACCAGAGUAGACUUGUAGCAGCACAGGAGCUUUAACUUGAGAUGCCACGGAAGUAACAGCUGCGAGCCCAGGAGAAUACCGGGGGGUACAAAUUUGUGCCGAAGAACCAGCUUGAUGAGUGCAAUGUCGGAUUCGACAGAAGCGAUAGCCAGGCCAAGAUGACACAGGGUAUAUAAAGCAGCAUGUUCAAUAACCGAUUUAUUGUCACCACAUUUCCGCAUGGUAUCCAUCUGCAAAUCAUAAGAAAGCCUACUAUGUGAGUAAGCAGUAAUAAUAAGCAAAGCCAGUACAUAAAAUUUGAGUAAGCUAGUAAUCAUGUGAAAAACAAAAAGAAAUGAUGGGCAUAGUUGCUAACAUUGGCUAUUAAGAUUUUACCGAAGAUAAUUUUCAGAGAUGUAGUGUAUUAGAUAUACAUAAACUGUAUGAUAUAAAAAUAGGCUGUCUAUUUGAGAAAUUAGGUAAGGUUCCUCAUCAUAUUCACUCAGAGCACAGAGACUUUUCACGUAGCACACAGAAACACGCUCCAUGCGGGUCGGCCUUUAUGCUUCGUUUUCAGCAAAAUUAUUAUUCCGUAUGUGUGGCGUCAAGACAGGAGGCAUAGAUUCCCGAAGCUGAUCAAACAUUUAUGGUGAUUUCUGUGCAUGAUUUCUUGUAAAUGUCGCCGAAAGUUAGUGACUUGCCAGGAAUUGUGCGAACGAAUUUGUGUGAGUCAGGACGGCGGGUUCCCCGUGCAGAAUAACUGUAUGUGCCUGCAGUCAGCGGCAGUCCACUUGGACGACCUCUCUUCUUUUCUACAGGCUUGUUCGAGAGUAUCAGGCCAAGAGCAGCAUCAACCUGGAAGUUCAUCAUGUCUCUUACUUCCUUCUUGGGGAGACCCUCGGCACUGGCAUCCCUCAGGUAUUCCAACCAUGAAUUUGCCAUUGCUAAGGAUGCAAAAUGGGAUAUCAUCCUCACCGGCCACUUCUUCGUCUUUGUGCGCAAGGGAUACAGUGACAUGACAAAGUCUAGUUUGUCGACACCCCCCAUCUACUUGUUGUAGUCCUGAAUGGCCUGUAUGCUGACAUGCUCCUUUUUUGCUUCGCUCCUCCUCCGCACUUCACAGACAGGAUGGACUCCUACAAGGCUGGAUGCUAUGUUGACGAUGCCAUUAUCCCUCCAGCGCACAAUCACAAUGUCGCCCUCUUUCGACACCCUGCUGUCUAGGGUCCCACAUCGCUCUUUCUUCAUUUCUUUUUCAGGCUUCAGUUUGCAUCCUUGCAGCCGAUUACUUCGUAUGGUUCCCAUUGCUAGGAUGCCCACAUGCUUGAGCUCUCUCAAGAGAGGUACUGAUGGUGAAGUAGUUGUCAAAAAACACUUUGGAGUCAGUGUUUUGGAAGGGGCUGUACUAAACGCAUGACAGCAGAGCCACCAAGGCCAAGAUGAGCAUAGCUUGGGUCCACACCAGUCCCUUUGCCCUGAUACAUUUCAAAGCCAUGGGCUAUUUCGUCCGAGCUGCCCCUCACAAAAACUUUGGCCCCGACGGGAUUGGGCUUUGACUUGAUCGCCUGCUUUGCCACUAUACGUCCUGUAAACACCAGCAUUUCUUCAUCCACGCUGCUUUCAUGAAACACACCCAUGCCUAGGCAUCGUUGACGUACAGCCGCAAGCAGGAGGCGAACCUUCCAAAAUUGUCCUUGCUUGAAGGGUCCCAUAAUGCAUUUGAGCCCGUUAUGUGCAAUGUGUUCCGUAUCUUGAAAAACCUGUUGAUCGACAUUGCAUCCACAAUUGCUGCAAUUCUUGUUGCCACUUUCCAAUACAUUCGUACCCAGGGAAAUUUCAGGACACCCAUGUACCAUCAAUCAUGUACAUCAUGUACUGCAAUAUUCCAAAAAACACCUUGAUUUCUUCAGGUGUGCAUGAGAGCUCCUCACCAUUUUUCUGGAGACUGUACAUGUUUAUGUACGUUGCGAACUCACUGAAAGUUUGGUCGGUGAAAUACUGUGUGAAGUAGCUCAAUGGCUCCUCUGGCACAGAGGUAGUUGGAGGGGGUAGUGGCAGUAAGUGCCCACAGGUUGGAACUCCUUCCGUGUCCACGUCACAGACGCUUUGGUUUUUUCCGGCUGUGAACAAGGUGGUUCCACGUCCUCAACUUCUUGGUCAUCAGUUGGUGCGCUUGGCUACUGGUCAUCAGUGUUACCCUGUAAAUGUUCCUUUAGUUAGCAACGGAUUCAGCAGCAAAACGUAAUGCACCUACAGCAACUGUGAUGUCUGUUUCAUCCUGCUCGUCAUCGGAAAGGUUGUCGUCUGUCACGGCACCUGCAGCAAUGCUUUCGGGAAUACUUUCUGCUGUAUCAUGCAGAACGUCUCUUGGACAUGAUCCACAAUGUGCUUGUAUGCCUAAAAAUAAAAAUAAUAGUCACUGUAAAAGCAAGUCAAAGCAGUUGGAUGAAACUGGCACUUUGAUAUGCGAGCGCAGGACAGAUGGAGCCGAUCACAAUGUGUACGAAUGGACACGCGACAGAUAUGCGUGGAAGUAACAGUAAAACAACUAUGACACUUUAAUAAUUCUGCACUAGAAAUGUGAACGGAGGCUUUAUGUAUCUAAAACUGUGCAGAGAAUUCUCAAGCGACACGUGAAAAUUCAUUGAAGAACAACAGAAAAGGCACACUUAUGCGGCGUGCCAUAGAAGGUGGAGGCAUCCAUCUUACAUUCGAAGUUCCGAUGGCAGUUUGCAAAGAAGAUAUCAGAUGGCGCACACAACGUUCUCUUCGGUGUCUACGCUUGUAGAUAGCAUGACUCAAACGUGCCAAACAGUUUUUCCGGGCUAGAAAACUAUACCGAAGCUUCCCGUGCACAAACGUGCACGCCAUGCCUCAAGGGGUUGUUGUUGUUAUUAUUAUUUAUUCCAUCCUUAUUCCACCCUUGUAGGCCAUUACCUGAGGGUGUGAGUACACACUGCAUUGCAAACAUCAACAUUAACCAGGAGAAGAACAAACAAACAAUACAGUAACAGCAAUGAUGUGGCACAAGAUGUGUCUAGUAGUGGAAACAGCCAAGGUGCUAAAGUAAAGGAAAAUGGUUUAUAGAUGUAUACAGGGAGGACAAUGGUGAAGUGAAUAUAACUAUUAAUGCAUUCACAAGCCGGCUGUGGUCCAUAGGUUCUGCAAUAGGAUGUUGGAGGUUAUUCCAAUCUGAUGUCCUUUUGCCUCAAAUGAUGUGGAACGUGAGCGAGCUAGGGGUGCCUUAUGCUGGUGGUCAUCGCGUCGGGAGCGAUAGGAUGAUCUGUGAACGUAACUGCUGUGGAGCACGGGGGAGUGGUAGAACUUGUGGAAUAAUAACCGUUGAACCACGCAGCGUGUGAUCAGGUCGGUGGGCUCGGCCUGGUUCUUGAGUGAAGUCACACUUGUGUGAGGUGAACAGUCUUUAAAAAUAAAUUGAGCAGCGUGAUUCUGCAGAGCUUCAACAUUGUUCGAGAGAUAAGCAUGGCAGGGGCUCCAUAUGGUGCUAGCGUAUUCGAGCUUGAGGCGGAUGAGGGUGAGAUAAGCCAGCCGCUUUAAGUGUGAAUGUGUGUGAGCAAUGUGGGGGGGGGGGGGGGUUGUCGUAAAUACCAGAGAUUAUGAUUUGCGUUAGAGAGUAUGUGCAAAAUGUGUGUGUUCCAUGUUAGGUAAAAUAAACUGCUUAGCAGGAACAUCUCUGGAUGAGGAUCUCUCGUGCCUGUCUGCCAGUCAUGGAGUCCUGUACGACAUCCACAGGAGGCAGGUGCGCAGGCUGCUUAGUCUUCUGAGUCCAGCAGCUGCGCCUCUGGAGGAGUGCUGUCGAGCUGGGAGUUGCUGCUGGGUCUGGCUCCUUCCUCAGGCAUCCCAGAUUAUGUAAAGUUGUAAUGACGCAUGUGGCACAGCGAGGCUUGUGCUGCAGCCGCAUGUCAAGGCGGGCCACAGUGAGUCACUGGAGGCAGUGCUGCAGCACCAACGAUCACUCAUUGGCAGAAAGGAAUGAGAUGGCCAUCAACACCCUGCUGCCAGUUCAACACUCCUCAGUCAAAACACAAGACUCCUGCUUGGCAGCGAAGUCAAUCCAGUUUUAGACUGAGUUUUGUACCAUAGACUUCGUGCGUGGUUUACUGUGAAUAAAUGUUCAUGCUGA
This is an RNA transcript of Ornithodoros turicata, 16624 nucleotides long. RefSeq lists it as uncharacterized. The record is from RefSeq and is a predicted model, not a curated record. NCBI's taxonomy places the organism in Eukaryota, Metazoa, Arthropoda, Arachnida, Ixodida, Argasidae. The transcript has 5 exons.